UCAGAAUUGCAUGUGCACUUAAUUAGGGAAGAAGUAUUGGUCACAAAAAAAGGCUGUUGUUUUCUGGCAAGGGUCGUCGAAAUUCCAAAAUUCCAACGCGUUAGCUGCCACAUGUAUUUCGGUCUUUUGACAGCUGCGGAGACAAAGGUGCUCUCGCUCUCUGGCUUUGCUGCUCGUAUGGUUAAACCCUUGCCCCGCAGGUUAAACUAUACUUCUCUCUUUACAAAACCUUAAUUGAUUUUUUUUCUUUUUUUUGUUAAGAUGGAUAUAAAUUGCUCAAACAGCCAUACCCAGACGAGAUGCAUAUACAUAGUUUAUUGGUUGUUCGAAAUUAGAACCAAAGAAGGAACGUGUUUACAUGGAGUCAAGUAAUUCGUAUGUUAGUAUAUGCACAUCGAAUCUCCUAUGCGUCAAAUCUCUUAAUAUUCGCAGAACACUUCAAAAUUUUAAUAUAUUCAGACACGAUCAUCUCGUGUAGGUAUGGUAUGCAGUUAAGGGGAGGGGAGAGAUGAAUGUGUUGUGACUGCAAAUUUGCUCCCUCUCCAACUAAAAAUCAAAACACAUCAGGAGGGCAUGAAGAUGAAUGAAAGGGAGCACAUUCCAUUACAACUGUUUAUCUUUUUGAAAAGCACUCGUAGUAAGAGAAUUAACCAAUGUUAUUGACGGUAGACAUUCUAAUUUUGACAAAAAAAAACAAAAAAGAAGUAACUAGAAAUGAUGACUGGAAGAGACGCUCAAGAUGGAAUAGAUUUUUAUUUUUAUCUUUUUCUCACUCGUUACUUUAGCU
This 787-nucleotide long non-coding RNA is filed under the name Gossypium barbadense (sea-island cotton). Its description in RNAcentral is "long non-coding RNA (GBAR_LNC006068)". The record is from RNAcentral. Lineage: Eukaryota; Viridiplantae; Streptophyta; Magnoliopsida; Malvales; Malvaceae.